This 253-nucleotide ribosomal RNA is filed under the name uncultured bacterium. RNAcentral's name for it is "partial 16S ribosomal RNA". It matches the Rfam family "Bacterial small subunit ribosomal RNA", at positions 524 to 776 of the family's 1533-position model. The record is from RNAcentral.
UACGUAGGGGGCAAGCGUUAUCCGGAUUUACUGGGUGUAAAGGGAGCGUAGACGGCCAGACAAGUCUGAAGUGAAAAUCCGGCGCUUAACGUUGGAAGUGCUUUGGAAACUGCCGGGCUAGAGUGCAGGAGGGGCAGGCGGAAUUCCUAGUGUAGCGGUGAAAUGCGUAGAUAUUAGGAGGAACACCAGUGGCGAAGGCGGCCUGCUGGACUGCAACUGACGUUGAGGCUCGAAGGCGUGGGGAGCAAACAGG